AUGCACGCUAGCGGGAGGCCUAACACAUGCAAGCCGAGCGGUAGAGUUUCUUCGGAAACUUGAGAGCGGCGCACGGGUGCGUAACACGUGUGCAACCUACCUUUAUCUGGGGGAUAGCCUUUCGAAAGGAAGAUUAAUACCCCAUAAUAUAAUGAUUGGCAUCAAUUAUUAUUGAAAACUCCGGUGGAUAGAGAUGGGCACGCGCAAGAUUAGAUAGUUGGUGAGGUAACGGCUCACCAAGUCAAUGAUCUUUAGGGGUCCUGAGAGGGAGAUCCCCCACACUGGUACUGAGACACGGACCAGACUCCUACGGGAGGCAGCAGUGAGGAAUAUUGGACAAUGGGUGAGAGCCUGAUCCAGCCAUCCCGCGUGAAGGAUGACGGUCCUAUGGAUUGUAAACUUCUUUUGUACAGGGAUAAACCUACCCUCGUGAGGGUAGCUGAAGGUACUGUACGAAUAAGCACCGGCUAACUCCGU
This 477-nucleotide ribosomal RNA is filed under the name uncultured bacterium. Its description in RNAcentral is "partial 16S ribosomal RNA". It matches the Rfam family "Bacterial small subunit ribosomal RNA", at positions 29 to 506 of the family's 1533-position model. The record is from RNAcentral.